AGCGGAUCCACGCAGGCGGCGCCCGCGCCUCUCCGCUCCCCGGCCGGCCCGCGCGCCCUCCCGACUGCCGGGGCCGUCUGCAGCCUCCCGCCGCUGCCGCCGCAAGGUCGGCGGCGCCGCUGCUCGUCUUCCAGAUUUUUUUUGCUUUCUCCUUCCAUUAGCAGUCAGCCUUCUGACACCUGUGCAUGCUGCCCUUCCACAAGAUGACAUACAGGAAGUACUGAAAUAAUUCUUCUUCAGCCACAUCUUUGAAGUAGAUCAUUAAUUUAUUUGACAAAAUAUUUGUGCUUAGAAGUCAGAAAAGGACCCUGCUCUCCUGGAACUGACAUGAUAAUGAAGGGAGACAGUCAGUAAAAGUACAUUGCUCUUUUAAAUUCUAUUGAGAACUAUAAGGACAAUAAAAGUGACUGAUGGGGGCUUCCCUGGUGGUGCAGUGGUUGAGAAUCUGCCUGCCGAUGCAAGGGACACGGGCUCGAGCCCUGGUCUGCGAAGAUCCCACAUGCCGCGGAGCAACUGGGCCCGUGAGCCACAACUACUGAGCCUGCGCAUCUGGAGCCUGUGCUCCACAAAAAGAGAGGUCACGACAGUGAGAGGCCCGUGCACUGCAAUGAAGAGUGGCCCCCGCUCACCGCAAUUGGAGAAAGCCCUCGCACAGAAACGAAGACCCAACACAGCUAAAAAUAAAUAAAUAAAUAAAUAAUUUUUUUAAAAAAAGUGAUUGAUGGGGCAAGAGCAGUUGUUGUUGGUGGUGGGUGUAUUACUUUCCUAGGGCUGCCAUAACAGAGUACCAUGAACUGGGCGGCUUAAAACAAUAGAGACACAUUCUCUCAGCGCUGGAGGCUAGAAGUCCAAAAUCAAGAUGGAUCCUUCCUUGCCCCUUCCACCUUCUGGCAGCCCCAGGAAUUUCUUCGCUUGUGUUUACACUUAAAGCUUUUAAGCCUCCUUCUUC
Molecule: long non-coding RNA, 949 nt
Organism: Physeter macrocephalus (sperm whale)
Lineage: Eukaryota; Metazoa; Chordata; Mammalia; Artiodactyla; Physeteridae
Exons: 3
Source: RefSeq, a predicted model, not a curated record